UUGACGUUGGAUUACCAGUGAGCGGCGGACGGGUGAGUAACACGUGGGCAACCUGCCCUGAAGCGGGGGAUAACAUCUGGAAACAGGUGCUAAUACCGCAUAACAACGAAAACCACAUGGUUUUCGUUUCAAAGAUGGUUUCGGCUAUCACUUCAGGAUGGGCCCGCGGUGCAUUAGCUAGUUGGUAAGGUAGCGGCUUACCAAGGCAAUGAUGCAUAGCCGAGUUGAGAGACUGAUCGGCCACAAUGGAACUGAGACACGGUCCAUACUCCUACGGGAGGCAGCAGUAGGGGAUCUUCCACAAUGGGCGCAAGCCUGAUGGAGCAACACCGCGUGAGUGAAGAAGGGUUUCGGCUCGUAAAGCUCUGUUGUUGGAGAAGAACGUGCGUGAGAGUAACUGUUCACGCAGUGACGGUAUCCAACCAGAAAGUCACGGCUAACUACGUGCCAGCAGCCGCGGUAAUACGUAGGUGGCAAGCGUUAUCCGGAUUUAUUGGGCGUAAAGCGAGCGCAGGCGGUUGCUUAGGUCUGAUGUGAAAGCCUUCGGCUUAACCGAAGAAGGGCAUCGGAAACCGGGCGACUUGAGUGCAAAAGAGGACAGUGGAACUCCAUGUGUAGCGGUGGAAUGCGUAGAUAUAUGGAAGAACACCAGUGGCGAAGGCGGCUGUCUGGUCUGCAACUGACGCUGAGGCUCGAAAGCAUGGGUAGCGAACAGGAUUAGAUACCCUGGUAGUCCAUGCCGUAAACGAUGAGUGCUAGGUGUUGGAGGGUUUCCGCCCUUCAGUGCCGGAGCUAACGCAUUAAGCACUCCGCCUGGGGAGUACGACCGCAAGGUUGAAACUCAAAGG
RNAcentral lists this ribosomal RNA (848 nucleotides) under uncultured bacterium. RNAcentral describes it as "bacterial SSU rRNA". It matches the Rfam family "Bacterial small subunit ribosomal RNA", at positions 74 to 907 of the family's 1533-position model. The record is from RNAcentral.